CAGAGUGAUGAUAUUAUGACAACCGGAAAGGCAUUCCUCGACCUGAAUAUAUAAUGUCGAAUUUGUCGCAACUUAGUUUCAGCCUUGUCUGACC
Molecule: small nucleolar RNA, 94 nt
Filed under: Phaeosphaeriaceae sp. SRC1lsM3a
Lineage: Eukaryota; Fungi; Ascomycota; Dothideomycetes; Pleosporales; Phaeosphaeriaceae
Description: Stagonospora sp. SRC1lsM3a A. fumigatus snoRNA Afu_455
Rfam family: A. fumigatus snoRNA Afu_455
Source: Rfam by way of RNAcentral